GAAUCCUACGGGGGGCAGCAGUGGGGAAUAUUGCACAAUGGGGGAAACCCUGAUGCAGCGACGCCGCGUGAGUGAGGAAGUAUUUCGGUAUGUAAAGCUCUAUCAGCAGGGAAGAAAAUGACGGUACCUGACUAAGAAGCCCCGGCUAACUACGUGCCAGCAGCCGCGGUAAUACGUAGGGGGCAAGCGUUAUCCGGAUUUACUGGGGGAAAAGGGAGCGUAGACGGCUAAUCAAGACAGGAGUGAAAACGCAGUGCUCAACCUUGGGACUGCUUUUGAGACU
This 283-nucleotide ribosomal RNA is filed under the name uncultured bacterium. RNAcentral's name for it is "partial 16S ribosomal RNA". It matches the Rfam family "Bacterial small subunit ribosomal RNA", at positions 334 to 634 of the family's 1533-position model. The record is from RNAcentral.